AUUGAACGCUGGCGGCAGGCCUAACACAUGCAAGUCGAGCGGAUGAAGGGAGCUUGCUCCUGGCUUCAGCGGCGGACGGGCGAGUAAUGCCUAGGAAUCUGCCUUGUAGAGGGGGAUAACGUCCGGAAACGGGCGCUAAUACCGCAUACGUCCUGAGGGUGAAAGUGGGGGAUCUUCGGACCUCACGCUAUCAGAUGAGCCUAGGUCGGAUUAGCUAGUUGGUGGGGUAAAGGCCUACCAAGGCGACGAUCCGUAGCUGGUCUGAGAGGAUGAUCAGCCACACUGGAACUGAGACACGGUCCAGACUCCUACGGGAGGCAGCAGUGGGGAAUAUUGGACAAUGGGCGAAAGCCUGAUCCAGCCAUGCCGCGUGUGUGAAGAAGGUCUUCGGAUUGUAAAGCUCUGUUAGUUGGGAGGAAGGGCAGUAAGUUAAUACGUUGCUGUUUUGACGUUACCAACAGAGUAAGCACCGGCUAACUUCGUG
Molecule: ribosomal RNA, 484 nt
Filed under: uncultured bacterium
Lineage: Bacteria
Description: partial 16S ribosomal RNA
Rfam family: Bacterial small subunit ribosomal RNA
Source: RNAcentral